UACGUAGGGGGCAAGCGUUGUCCGGAAUCAUUGGGCGUAAAGAGCGUGUAGGCGGCCAGACAGGUCCGUUGUGAAAACUCGAGGCUCAACCUCGAGACGUCGACGGAAACCGUCUGGCUAGAGUCCGGAAGAGGAGUGUGGAAUUCCUGGUGUAGCGGUGAAAUGCGCAGAUAUCAGGAAGAACACCUAUGGCGAAGGCAGCACUCUGGGACGGUACUGACGCUGAGACGCGAAAGCGUGGGGAGCGAACAGG
RNAcentral lists this ribosomal RNA (253 nucleotides) under uncultured bacterium. Its description in RNAcentral is "partial 16S ribosomal RNA". It matches the Rfam family "Bacterial small subunit ribosomal RNA", at positions 524 to 776 of the family's 1533-position model. The record is from RNAcentral.